RNAcentral lists this ribosomal RNA (274 nucleotides) under uncultured bacterium. Its description in RNAcentral is "partial 16S ribosomal RNA". It matches the Rfam family "Bacterial small subunit ribosomal RNA", at positions 523 to 796 of the family's 1533-position model. The record is from RNAcentral.
AUACGGAGGGUCCAAGCGUUAUCCGGAUUCAUUGGGUUUAAAGGGUGCGCAGGCGGGCUUGUAAGUCAGUGGUGAAAUACUGCCGCUUAACGGUAGAACUGCCAUUGAUACUGCAAGUCUUGAAUAUGGUUGAGGUAGGCGGAAUGUGUUGUGUAGCGGUGAAAUGCAUAGAUAUGACACAGAACGCCAAUUGCGAAGGCAGCUUACUAAGCCAUUAUUGACGCUGAGGCACGAAAGCGUGGGGAGCGAACAGGAUUAGAAACCCGAGUAGUCC